UGCCUGAGGAGAAUGAGCCGCGAGAGGACGGGGGGCCCUGGCCCAGGGAACCCCCCGGGCCCCGGCUCCUGAGAUCAACAUCAGCAGAGAGGACCCCCAGCCUGGCCCCCAAGGCCCACCCAGGCCUGGUGCCCACUUUGUGCCAUGGGAGCGGUCCACGGGAAGAAGAAAGAAUACUCUCCUCAGGCCAUAUUUCAUAAUGAAAAUGAGAAGCAGAGACUAAAUGGCUCAGGUAAGUCAGACCCACCUAGAAUUCCUCAGGAGUGCAGCCAGAGUUAAUCCCUUUCAAAUGCUCUGUAAAAGCACAUUACUUAGGCACAAUUUUCCUGAACCCCCUACCUUGUUCAAUAGCUAGCUUUGUUUCCCCCCUGCAGCAAAAGCUUUGGCACCAUCUGGGUUCCAAUAUCAGCUCCAUUACUAACUAGUUAUGUGACUGUGGGCAAGUCACUUGAACCUUAUUUUCCUUAUCUCUAAAAAGGGCAUAAUCAUACUUGAUCAAAGAGUGGAUUAAAUGAGAUCAAUAAUAAAUUGUAUAUCAUUUCAUCCUCCAAAGAAUGGAUAUGAAAUAGUCAAUGCCAAAUGUCUGUGAUUGUGCCUGGCACUCAUGAUGGUUGGUUGUUGAUGAGACACAUGAUCAGUCUGACCAAUCAGUGACGUCCCCAAAGAUCAAAGUGUGUCACUUGGGUUCUUAGGACCCUGGGUUUGUGACUGAGGAGCAGAGAAGUACAGAGAUCUCUGAGUCACAGCAGAAGCUGGGCCUGGAAAGUGGCAAAGGACCAACUAGAGAGGACUUGGCUGACAGCUGGCCUAGGGGGCACCAAGGCUAGAGAGGACUGGAGAGGACACAGAGGCACAGGGAGACAGUACUGUGUAGCCAAAUCUCCAACAGCCAGCUCAAGAUUCCCUGGCGCACACAGGCACAGCCUUGAACAGAGGCCAUGCAGUACCGCGGACAGCUCCAGGGGUCUCUAGACUAGUGGUGUGGGCGGGAACUGGAUUGAGGCU
RNAcentral lists this long non-coding RNA (1005 nucleotides) under Ursus thibetanus thibetanus. RNAcentral's name for it is "lncRNA (ENSUTTG00000023136.1)". The record is from RNAcentral. Lineage: Eukaryota; Metazoa; Chordata; Mammalia; Carnivora; Ursidae.